GAUGAACGCUGGCGGCGUGCCUAAUACAUGCAAGUCGAGCGAACGGACGAGAAGCUUGCUUCUCUGAUGUUAGCGGCGGACGGGUGAGUAACACGUGGAUAACCUACCUAUAAGACUGGGAUAACUUCGGGAAACCGGAGCUAAUACCGGAUAAUAUUUUGAACCGCAUGGUUCAACAGUGAAAGACGGUCUUGCUGUCACUUAUAGAUGGAUCCGCGCUGCAUUAGCUAGUUGGUAAGGUAACGGCUUACCAAGGCAACGAUGCGUAGCCGACCUGAGAGGGUGAUCAGCCACACUGGAACUGAGACACGGUCCAGACUCCUACGGGAGGCAGCAGUGGGGAAUCUUCCGCAAAGGGCGAAAGCCUGACGGAGCAACGCCGCGUGAGUGAUGAAGGUCUUCGGAUCGUAAAACUCUGUUAUUAGGGAAGAACAUAUGUGUAAGUAACUGUGCACAUCUUGACGGUACCUAAUCAGAAAGCCACGGCUAACUACGUG
RNAcentral lists this ribosomal RNA (497 nucleotides) under uncultured bacterium. Its description in RNAcentral is "partial 16S ribosomal RNA". It matches the Rfam family "Bacterial small subunit ribosomal RNA", at positions 28 to 507 of the family's 1533-position model. The record is from RNAcentral.